This 253-nucleotide ribosomal RNA is filed under the name uncultured bacterium. Its description in RNAcentral is "partial 16S ribosomal RNA". It matches the Rfam family "Bacterial small subunit ribosomal RNA", at positions 524 to 776 of the family's 1533-position model. The record is from RNAcentral.
UACGUAGGGGGCAAGCGUUGUCCGGAUUUAUUGGGCGUAAAGAGCGUGUAGGCGGCCAAGCAGGUCCGCUGUGAAAACUCGAGGCUCAACCUCGAGACGUCGGUGGAAACCGUUUGGCUAGAGUCCGGAAGAGGAAAGUGGAAUUCCUGGUGUAGCGGUGAAAUGCGCAGAUAUCAGGAAGAACACCCGUGGCGAAGGCGGCUUUCUGGGACGGUACUGACGCUGAGACGCGAAAGCGUGGGGAGCGAACAGG